GGUGCCCUAUCUUGAGUGUAUUAUAUCAGUAGGCUUGCAAAGAUAGGAUGACUUGCAUGAGAAAAUAGAAGUUAGCUCCAUAAAAGGCUGGUGAAUGUACAUAUAACUAUGAUUUUGUAACUGUCACUCUGCAUUUGACAACAUAGAAGUUAGCUCCAUAAACAUUUUCUUGUCGUGCAUAUAGGGAACCUUGAAACCAGACAAUUCUUCCCACCUAAAGGAUGAUAAUAAAAACUGAAUGCAGGCAAUUAUUCCUUCCUAAAGGAUGAUAAAAUAAAUAAAUGAUGGCAUGCUGCAUUAUACCACUUUGAAAUAUACAUAGGAAGAAAGGGACACACUUGUACCAAACUUUAUCAUGCGUCAUUAAUCAUAAUCAGUACUUAUUAUUUUCCCAAACCAAGACUAAUUGGCCAUAACUUGAAACACCACGUAUCCAUUUGUGUGGUGACAGCCUGAGCUCCUCCUACCGAGCGCCAAGGAGGAAGGGAUCAAGCAGAAUUGGUGAGUGACUCUCUCUCAUAAUGCAAAAUCGGUGAAACUAAAAACACAUGCUAUAGUUUGAAGUAAAGAAGUAGCAUAUGCAUUGGAGAUGUCAUUGUUUAAUUUACUGAAGUGGCUUCAAAUAUAAAAAAACGCAGAAGUGGCACACUCCAAACCAAUAAGACUGAAAUAAUCUAAGAAUAUUAUCAUUACAGAGGAACGAUUUCUAAACUUGCUGCCUUUAGCUGGUCGCACAGGGCAAAGAUAAUCCCAGUUCUUUACCACCACCACUUAACAAAAAUAGCAUAAAAGGGCAAAGUUAUCAGGGUACCGAGACUUUCUAUAAUAUGUAUCUGAAGCUAACCAUGCUGACCAGUGAGGGCAUCCUAAAGAUUUUAGUAACACCACGAAGCACAGAACAACCACAUGAUGUCAAUGAUUGUCAGGUGAACGGCAAUACCACAGGUAACAUAUAUGAUAGUAAAAAUGUAGAUGUACAAACCCUAGCUGACCAUAUCAAAAAAAGCAGAGGAGAUGUACGACAGACCUAUUAGGUCCACCAACUCCAUCGAUACCCAGCAAAGAUACUUGGGCUCGUGACGACGACAGUCGUGGAGGAGAGAACGAUGGCACCAACGAAAGGGCACGCUCCAACUUCAGAACACGGCUCCACCGUCGACCUUGAUGAGCAGCAUGACAUCACAAACAAAAUCAUACAAACACAAAGGCAACCAAGGAAGCAAGCACACAAGCUUAUAAAUCAGGGCAACCAAAAAUGCUACAACUACAGGUGCAAAAGCAGAUCUCAUGAGAUUAUUAGGCAACAUCAAAGUUAUAUAGCAUACUCUGAUUACAAUCAAUAAAGUUAUAUAGCAUAUUCUCUUUCAACAUCGAAAUUGUAUUUUUCAUCCACCUAAUAGAAUAUCAGAACAGAAAUAAGGGAACUUAAGUGGAAGGG
RNAcentral lists this long non-coding RNA (1438 nucleotides) under Triticum aestivum (bread wheat). RNAcentral describes it as "long non-coding RNA (TAES_LNC015636)". The record is from RNAcentral. Lineage: Eukaryota; Viridiplantae; Streptophyta; Magnoliopsida; Poales; Poaceae.